UACGAAGGGGGCUAGCGUUGUUCGGAAUCACUGGGCGUAAAGCGCACGUAGGCGGAUCUUUAAGUCAGAGGUGAAAGCCCGGGGCUCAACCCCGGAACUGCCUUUGAAACUAGAUAGCUAGAGUCUUGGAGAGGUUAGUGGAAUUCCGAGUGUAGAGGUGAAAUUCGUAGAUAUUCGGAAGAACACCAGUGGCGAAGGCGACUAACUGGACAAGUACUGACGACUGAGGUA
This 231-nucleotide ribosomal RNA is filed under the name uncultured bacterium. Its description in RNAcentral is "partial 16S ribosomal RNA". It matches the Rfam family "Bacterial small subunit ribosomal RNA", at positions 524 to 753 of the family's 1533-position model. The record is from RNAcentral.